RNA transcript from Anopheles darlingi, 1165 nucleotides. It is a transcript of the gene named rhodanese domain-containing protein CG4456, with no coding region annotated. NCBI's taxonomy places the organism in Eukaryota, Metazoa, Arthropoda, Insecta, Diptera, Culicidae. The transcript has 3 exons. The record is from RefSeq and is a predicted model, not a curated record.
AAAAUAUUGCAAGGCCAAUAUUUAGGUUUCCCGCCAUCCCAUCAGAUUGCCUACCAAAGCCUAGAUAUUUACAUUGAUUCCUCCUCUCGCUAUGUUUUAGCAAGAAAUACUCGCAUAACAACAUCCGUGGGCCUUGUGCAGUGGUGGCCGUCUCAGGAGCACGUCUCACACCGUCUCUGCGAUAGAUAAUAACAAAAAAGGAAUGUCGACGUCACGGCUAUUCUGGAGUCGAUUUCUAGCACCAACCGUUCAAAAACAGUGGCCAGCUCUUGCUGGAGGACGAUGGAAAAGAAUGGCACGGAUCGGUAAUCUUAGCGCUCCGCUUCGCCUCUAUUCUGCCGGCAAUAUGCACCGGUUCGAUAAGAGCGUUAUCGCCCCCGAACAACUGGCCACUUACGACGAGAUCGUACAGUUAUCGAAGCAAACGGAAGCGGACGCACCACUGCUGAUCGACGUCCGGGAACCGGCGGAACUGGAGGCGACGGGACGUAUACCGACCAGCAUCAACAUACCGGUAAACCAGGUGAAAACGGAGCUCGAGCUGCCGGCGGCAGCCUUCGAAACGAAAUACGGUCGCCGCAAACCCUCCCCCACGGAUCCGAUUAUUUUCUGUUGCCGGAUCGGUGUACGGUCCGGUAACGCAGCGCACGAAGCGGAGCAGAUGGGAUUCAAACGCGUUAAAAACUACGUCGGAUCGUGGUUGGAGUACGCCGAAAAACAAGGUUUAUCCAGCUAGGAUUACUCGCGGGUUAUCCGGGAAGUGCGAAUAAAGGAUCUCCGGUGCACUCACUAUUCCAAAAGUUGUGGUGUACUAAUUCAUUUCCAUGAAAACGCGUUAGUUGAUGGAAGGGUGGGUAGGAUUCUCACGCACUCAUGAUGACGUAGAAGGUGGAAGACUGGAGGGCUCAUUACGCACCUGUGUUGAUUAUCGCGCGCGCGUAGCAUCAGGCGGUGUGUUUCAGUCGCUCCGAGUUUCGACGAUCAUUUCGUUGCUGGCAUUCGGCGUAGACAUCAUUCCAGCUGAUUACCACUGGUCUCAGCAGGUUCUAGCAGCCGGCACGUUGCUACGGAUUGCGAUGCUAAUAGCAAGUUUGCACCGGGUUGUAUCGAACCGCGGCUCGUUGCUACGCUCGCCGAGGUAGAGGAUCUACCGAAUCAUCCCGAG